RNAcentral lists this ribosomal RNA (529 nucleotides) under Loxosceles sp. RPD-2010. RNAcentral's name for it is "partial 16S ribosomal RNA". It matches the Rfam family "Bacterial large subunit ribosomal RNA", at positions 1872 to 2706 of the family's 2925-position model. The record is from RNAcentral. Lineage: Eukaryota; Metazoa; Arthropoda; Arachnida; Araneae; Sicariidae.
AAACAUCACUUUCCGCCGUAACAGAAAGCCAUUCCUGGCCCAAUGUUCUUAAAUAGCCGCAGUUUCCUGUGCUAAGGUAGCGCAAUAACUUGCCUUCUAAUUAAAGGAUCGUAUGAAAGGACACAUGACUUUCUUAUUUUCUCAUAUAUUUUAAAAUAAAUUUAACCUACAAGUAAAAAGACUUGUAUUAACAAGAAAGACGACAAGACCCUAUAGAACUUCACUAUUGUUAAACUGGGGUGGUCAACAACAAAAGCUUAUCUUCCCAAACCACACAAAGACCUGAAACUUUCAACAAAAGAACAAGUUACCUUAGGGAUAACAGAGUAAUUCCUCUCUAGACCUGUUCCAAAGAGGAGCUUUCUACCUCGAUGUUGAAUUUAAUAUUACUUCAUAAAUAAACAUUAUACAAGUAGGUCUGUUCGACCUUUAAAAUAUUACAUGAUUUGAGUUCAGACCGGCGCAAGCCAGGUCAGAUUCUAUCUUCUCCCAACUUCACUACAGUACGAAAGGACCUAAUGAUAGAUAA